This 468-nucleotide ribosomal RNA is filed under the name uncultured bacterium. RNAcentral's name for it is "partial 16S ribosomal RNA". It matches the Rfam family "Bacterial small subunit ribosomal RNA", at positions 28 to 507 of the family's 1533-position model. The record is from RNAcentral.
GACGAACGCUGGCGGCGUGCUUAACACAUGCAAGUCGAACGGAAAGGCCCUGCUUUUGUGGGGUGCUCGAGUGGCGAACGGGUGAGUAACACGUGUGUAACCUGCCCUUGACUUUGGGAUAACUUCAGGAAACUGGGGCUAAUACCGGAUAGGAGCUCCUGCUGCAUGGUGGGGGUUGGAAAGUUUCGGCGGGUGGGGAUGGACUCGCGGCUUAUCAGCUUGUUGGUGGGGUAGUGGCUUACCAAGGCUUUGACGGGUAGCCGGCCUGAGAGGGUGAACGGCCACAUUGGGACUGAGAUACGGACCAGACGCCUACGGGAGGCAGCAGUGGGGAAUAUUGCACAAUGGGCGGAAGCCUGAUGCAGCAACGCCGCGUGCGGGAUGACGGCCUUCGGGUUGUAAACCGCUUUCGCCUGUGACGAAGCGUGAGUGACGGUAAUGGGUAAAGAAGCACCGGCUAACUACGUG